ACGGGUUGUGGGACCCGGAC
This 20-nucleotide microRNA is filed under the name Chlamydomonas reinhardtii. RNAcentral describes it as "cre-miR1151b-3p". The record is from miRBase by way of RNAcentral. Lineage: Eukaryota; Viridiplantae; Chlorophyta; Chlorophyceae; Chlamydomonadales; Chlamydomonadaceae.